Morone saxatilis (striped sea-bass) is the source of this 540-nucleotide long non-coding RNA. RefSeq lists it as uncharacterized. Lineage: Eukaryota; Metazoa; Chordata; Actinopteri; Moronidae. The transcript has 3 exons. The record is from RefSeq and is a predicted model, not a curated record.
CCGAAGCGCAACUUUUCCCCAGGCAAAGUGAAAUCAAACCGCGGACUCGGACAAAAUAUAGUCCCCGUUUUUCAACUUAAAAUUAUCGAAAGAAAAGCGAACCCGCUUCCCCGUCGGACCCCUCGUCGUUCGGCCGUACUCUGGAGAGGAGCCGCGCCGGGGCCUGAGCUCUUUCCGCCGGGUUUGGAGCACUUUUGAAGACGGGCGGAAAGUGGGUGAUGAGUCCUAGCCUGUAAAAAGAAGCGAGAACUUGCUUUUGCAGCCCGAGUAGUUCUUCUUUCAAUUGUUAUUGUCGCUUUAAAAAAUCUUUUAAUUCACUUAAACUUCGUCUCGGCCGCGUCGAAAGUGGGAGAAAAGUGCUUUUCUGGUCGGAACAUGGAACUACAAGGCCUGCAAGAGGCGUUGAAAGUAGAAAUCCAAUGUCAUCAGGAUGGCGAGCUUAAGAGACAGCUGCACGACAGGCAAACCAGAAUCACAGCCCUCACUGACAAACAAAAUCAGACGUUGUGCAAAGGCCUCAAUGAACUUCAAAAUGGACAG